GAGGGCUUGCAGUUGCGUCACAAACCACCUAGCAACCGCAAUUGGAGCCAUGUUGGAAGACCAAUCAGUCUGUUGGAAGUCCUCCAACUGUCCAAAAGGCUGGCUGUGUUCUGCUAUCACUGGAAACUUCGGGAAGAUUGCCCAUUAUUUUGUUUUUCUAAGGACCCAGAAAACGGAGGCAUUGGGAGAACCUAUUCAAAUAUAGAGAGCCGUGAAACCCUGCCUGCAGCUGAAGAGGUCCCAAUGAAUGUCCCAAAAGAAUAAAAGGAGCCUCCCAAGUGACGUAGCGGUCUAAGGCACUGCAUCGCAGUGCUAGAGGCGUUACUACAGACCCAGAUUUGAUCCCAGGCUGUGUCACAGCCAGCUGCGACCAGGAGACCCAUGAGGUGGCGCACAUGCACAAUUGGCCCAGUGUCAUCCAGGUUAGGGGAGGGUGUCCCAUCACGCGCUAGCAACUCCCUGUGCCAGGCCAGUAUGGUGUUUCCUCCGACACAUUGGUGCGCCUGGCUUCUGGGUUAAGUAAACAGUGUGUCAAGAACAUGUGCAGCAUGGCAGGGUUGUGUUUCGGAGGAUGCUUUCAACCUUCACCUCUCACGAGUCCGUACGGGAGUUGCAGCGAUGGGACAAGACUAACUACCAAUUUGGACAUCACAAAAAAGGGGUAAAAAGUACACUUUUUUUUUUUACAAAGAAAUAAGUUAAUUGUUAACUAUAUUAUUCAAGAUGAACUAGUGUCAAUGUCGAUUAACCACAGCUCACAAUCCUGCAAUAAAGAGGGUAAGGGAAUUUGUCUCUAUUCUCAAAUGAGCACUACCUACGUUUUUGUUCAGUUGUAAGCUGUCCAAUUAGUUUGUCACUUUUUUUUCAAGAUACAGCAUCAGCCAUGUGAACCCAUUUUGCAGCUGAUAAUGGCAUGCAAAGCCAAUGCAGUCAUAGACCUACAGCAGUGGUUCCCAACUCCCAUCCUUGAGUACCCCCAAUAGCACAUUUUUGUUGCAGUUCUAGACAAACAUACCUGAUUCAUCUGGUUGAGAGCCUAAUGAUUAGUUGAUAAGUUGAUUCAGGUGUGCUUGUCCGGGGCUACAAUAAAACUGUGUACUGUUGGGGGUACUCAAGGACCGGAGUUGAGAAACACUGGCCUACAGUAUGAUGGCAUUAGCCUUAUGGGCAUUUGCAUUGCACCCCUUAACAUUGUGCACCUGAACCAGAGAACAUCUUAAGUCACACAUUGUUUACAUAUUUUUGAGCCAUAUUCUCAAUUUAAAAACAAUGCCAGUAGACAAUUUGAGGCUAAUCGUUAUGCUAGAUGUUGUACAUACCUUGUGCUGACAUUAAAUUGUUUAGUGCAAAUCCAA
Long non-coding RNA from Oncorhynchus tshawytscha (Chinook salmon), 1355 nucleotides. RefSeq lists it as uncharacterized. The record is from RefSeq and is a predicted model, not a curated record. The transcript is spliced from 3 exons. NCBI's taxonomy places the organism in Eukaryota, Metazoa, Chordata, Actinopteri, Salmoniformes, Salmonidae.